RNAcentral lists this transfer RNA (85 nucleotides) under Treponema brennaborense DSM 12168. RNAcentral's name for it is "tRNA-Ser (TGA) (tRNA-Ser-TGA-1-1)". It matches the Rfam family "tRNA". From Rfam's summary of the family: Transfer RNA (tRNA) molecules are approximately 80 nucleotides in length. Their secondary structure includes four short double-helical elements and three loops (D, anti-codon, and T loops). The record is from Rfam by way of RNAcentral. Lineage: Bacteria; Pseudomonadati; Spirochaetota; Spirochaetia; Treponematales; Treponemataceae. RNAcentral also lists the same sequence under 3 other names.
GGAGCGGUGUCCGAGUGGUUUAAGGAGGCGGUCUUGAAAACCGUUGUGCCGAAAGGUACCGGGGGUUCGAAUCCCCCCUGCUCCG